GAAAUUUUGCAUCUUAACUGAAAAAGUGCCGUUGAUACUGUGAGGCUAGGAUUUGGUUGCUGUGGGUGGAAUGUGUGGUGUAGCGGUGAAAUGCUUGGAGAUCACACAGAAUAUCGAUUGCGAAGGCAGCUCACAAAGCCAAGAUUGACGCUGAGGCACGAAAGUGUGGGGAUCAAACAGGAUUAGAUACCCUGGUAGUCCACACUGUAAACGAUGAUAACUCGCUGUCGGCGAUAUACAGUCGGUGGCCAAGCGAAAGCGAUAAGUUAUCCACCUGGGGAGUACGACCGCAAGGUUGAGACUCAAAGGAAUUGACGGGGGCCCGCACAAGCGGAGGAACAUGUGGUUUAAUUCGAUGAUACGCGAGGAACCUUACCCGGGCUCGAACGGUGCAGGAAUAUGGUAGAGAUAUCAUAGCUAGCAAUAGUCUGUAUCGAGGUGCUGCAUGGUUGUCGUCAGCUCGUGCCGUGAGGUGUCGGCUUAAGUGCCAUAACGAGCGCAAUCCUUGUCAUUAGUUACCAUCACGUCAAGCUGGGGACUCUAAUGAGACUGCCACCGUAAGGUGAGAGGAAGGGGGGGAUGACUUCAAAUCAUCACGGCCCUUAUGUCCGGGGCGACACACGUGUUACAAUGGGGGGUACAGAGGGCAGCCAUCCGGCGACGGAGCGCCAAUCUCAAAAACCCUUCUCAGUUUCGGAUUGGAGUCUGCAACCCGACUCCAUGAAGUUGGAUACGCUAGUCAUCGCGCAUCAGCCAUGGCGCGGUGAAUACGUUCCCGGUCCUUGUACACACCGCCCGUCAAGCCAUGGAAGCUUGGGGUGCCUGAAGUUCGUGAUCGCAACGAGCGACCUAG
This 853-nucleotide ribosomal RNA is filed under the name uncultured bacterium. RNAcentral's name for it is "bacterial SSU rRNA". It matches the Rfam family "Bacterial small subunit ribosomal RNA", at positions 596 to 1460 of the family's 1533-position model. The record is from RNAcentral.